AUCAGGUAGGAAUACCCGCUGAACUUAAGCAUAUCAAUAAGCGGAGGAAAAGAAACCAACAGGGAUUGCCCUAGUAACGGCGAGUGAAGCGGCAACAGCUCAAAUUUGAAAUCUGGCCUUCGGGUCCGAGUUGUAAUUUGCAGAGGAUGCUUUUGGCGCGGUGCCUUCCGAGUUCCCUGGAACGGGACGCCUUAGAGGGUGAGAGCCCCGUACGGUUGGACACCAAGCCUCUGUAAAGCUCCUUCGACGAGUCGAGUAGUUUGGGAAUGCUGCUCUAAAUGGGAGGUAAAUUUCUUCUAAAGCUAAAUACCGGCCAGAGACCGAUAGCGCACAAGUAGAGUGAUCGAAAGAUGAAAAGCACUUUGAAAAGAGGGUUAAAUAGCACGUGAAAUUGUUGAAAGGGAAGCGUUUACGGCCAGACCUUUUCCUGGCGGAUCAUCUGGUGUUCUCACCAGUGCACUUCGCCAGGUUUAGGCCAGCAUCGGCUUCUGUAGGGGGAUAAAAGCAGUGGGAAAGUAGCUCCCUCGGGAGUGUUAUAGCCCUAAGCAUAAUACCCUUACGGGGGCCGAGGACCGCG
RNAcentral lists this ribosomal RNA (577 nucleotides) under Sordariomycetes sp. RNAcentral's name for it is "eukaryotic LSU rRNA". It matches the Rfam family "Eukaryotic large subunit ribosomal RNA", at positions 10 to 597 of the family's 3401-position model. The record is from RNAcentral. Lineage: Eukaryota; Fungi; Ascomycota; Sordariomycetes.